This 1248-nucleotide long non-coding RNA is filed under the name Androctonus crassicauda. Lineage: Eukaryota; Metazoa; Arthropoda; Arachnida; Scorpiones; Buthidae. The record is from RNAcentral.
CGAAACUGUUAUAUAACGGCUUUUUUCAAUUUGUUCUGAAGUAUAAUUUAAAUUUUUUUUAGAAUUCUGAAGGAAAAUUAACCAAGUUUGAUGUCAUUCAAAAGAGAAAAGAGAGAACAAAAUGUGUUUGUUCCUGUGGUGGUGUUUCAGGAAGAGGGUGAUUCCUUAUGGCUGCAGUGACCUCCCCAGAGCCUGAGUUGGUGGUUGAAGAUCUCAAGGUCCAUGCAAGGCACCCUCAGUGGAAUUUUCAAAGUCUUUCUUCGAUCCCUGUCUGGCAGUCAGUUCGGACGGUUGCGUGGGUAACUGUCCACUUGCCAACUCUUUGAUGGCUCAGUCUGAGCUUAUUCAGAUGUUCUGCCUUGGUGGUUUGGCAGUCAGAACUGAAUUCGUGCUGCUGGAAAAACACGAGGUUUAUGGAGGAGACUGUGGGGAAGAAUUUUCGGCUGUGUUUUACAGCUGAAUCCUUCCGAGUAACCCCAAGAAAGAGAUAAGUAUCACUAGGAUAUGACAGGUGAUCGAGCAAUAAUUACAUCCUAUUUUAAAGUUUCAGCAGUUCAAGAGAUGCUGAAUAUGAAAUGGAACAUCAUCUCAACCAUUAGAGUGGACUUUUUCAAAAUCUGGGCUGCAACUUUUUCGAUUUUGACUGAUUAUGACUACUGGAUUUGUCAGGAGGUGACCACGAGUGUCGCUCCCUUCGUUUUUUCUUAUUUGUGACUCUACAUAAUUUCCUGAUUUGCAUCUUUUUGUAUAUAAUUUUUAAGUUGCACAUAGUAUUAGUAUUAACUGUUUUUUUGUGACCUGAACCUCACACCUUCACCAUCCGUGAAUAAUUAUGUUGGUGGUCUGGCGAUCAUAAACUGUAGCACAAAGGAUGAAUUAUUCAAUUGUUAAAAAAUCGGAAAGGAUAUCCCAGAAUAUAUAAAAAAUAAAAUUAGAAAAGCAGUUUUUAAAAAAUCAAAGGUAAAGCACAGAUGUGUAAUAGAAAGAAGAAAAAAAAAAUUAUUUGCUACUGUUUGAUUUGUGCUUUUAGAAACAUUCACAUUCUAUUGAUUUGUUGGUCACGAUUAAAGAAACAAAGUGUCUUAUGUCUGAAGAUGCCAAUGGUGAGUUUAAAUUGCUUAUAGAAUAAUACUGCCAAAGAAUCAUUAACUAUUAAAAAUUUAUACAUAAAAAUGAUCCAUAUUGCAAAAUAUGGAUAAAUCCAAAAGAACAAUUUCAAACAACGGUUUUUCAAGAUUCUCUCAAUCC